Molecule: ribosomal RNA, 380 nt
Filed under: uncultured eukaryote
Lineage: Eukaryota
Description: partial 18S ribosomal RNA
Rfam family: Eukaryotic small subunit ribosomal RNA
Source: RNAcentral
CAAUAGCGUAUAUUAAAGUUGUUGCAGUUAAAGAGCUCGUAGUUGGAUUUGUGGCGUACGGUGUGUUCCGGGCACUUGUUGUCUGAGUAACCUGCUGUUGCCAUCCUUGGGUGGAACCUGUGUGGCAUUAGGUUGUCGUGCAGGGGAUGCCCAUCAUUUACUGUGAAAAAAUUAGAGUGUUCAAAGCAGGCUUAUGCCGUUGAAUAUAUUAGCAUGGAAUAAUGAGAUAGGACUUUUUUGCUAUUUUGUUGGUUUGCGCAAGAAGGUAAUGAUUAAUAGGGACAGUUGGGGGUAUUCGUAUUCCAUUGUCAGAGGUGAAAUUCUUGGGUUUUUGGAAGACGAACUACUGCGAAAGCAUUUACCAAGGAUGUUUUCAUUAA